Molecule: ribosomal RNA, 484 nt
Filed under: uncultured bacterium
Lineage: Bacteria
Description: partial 16S ribosomal RNA
Rfam family: Bacterial small subunit ribosomal RNA
Source: RNAcentral
GACGAACGCUGGCGGCGUGCUUAACACAUGCAAGUCGAACGAUGAAGCUGGAGCUUGCUCCGGUGGAUUAGUGGCGAACGGGUGAGUAACACGUGAGCAAUCUGUCCUUGACUCUGGGAUAACUGCGGGAAACCGUAGCUAAUACCGGAUACUUUCACUGGAAGGCAUCUUCUGGUGAAGAAAGAAUUUCGGUCAAGGAUGAGCUCGCGGCCUAUCAGCUUGUUGGUGAGGUAACGGCUCACCAAGGCGACGACGGGUAGCCGGCCUGAGAGGGUGACCGGCCCCACGGGGACUGAGACACGGCCCAGACUCCUACGGGAGGCAGCAGUGGGGAAUAUUGCACAAUGGGCGCAAGCCUGAUGCAGCAACGCCGCGUGAGGGAUGAAGGCCUUCGGGUUGUAAACCUCUUUUAGCAGGGAAGAAGCGAAAGUGACGGUACCUGCAGAAAAAGCACCGGCUAACUACGUGCCAGCAGCCGCCGUAA